Molecule: ribosomal RNA, 444 nt
Filed under: Spiroplasma endosymbiont of Heliconius melpomene amaryllis
Lineage: Bacteria; Bacillati; Mycoplasmatota; Mollicutes; Entomoplasmatales; Spiroplasmataceae
Description: bacterial LSU rRNA
Rfam family: Bacterial large subunit ribosomal RNA
Source: RNAcentral
UAUGGAGGUAGAGCUCUGAAUGUAUGAUGGCCCCACCUAGGGGUACUGAGUAGAAUUAAACUACGAAUGCCAUAAUUUCAUACUCGGCAGUCAGAACAUGGGUGAUAAGGUCCAUGCUCGUGAGGGAAACAGCCCAGAUCUACAUCUAAGGUCCCUAAAUAUAUACUAAGUGUGKAAGGAUGUGAAGGUGCACAGACGGCUUGGAUGUUGGCUCAGAAGCAGCCACCAUUUAAAGAGUGCGUAACAGCUCACUAGUCGAGUGCCUUUGCGCCGAAAAUGUACCGGGGCUUAAGUAUAUUACCGAAGAUUAGGAUUCACAGCCCUGUGAGUGGUAGGGGAGCGUUCUAAGGGCCAUGAAGUCCGACCGUGAGGACUGGUGGAGCGCCUAGAAGUGAUUAUGCCAGCCUGAGUUACGGUCGKAGGWGAGAAUCCKCCAUGCCGUUU